AGGAUGCAUAAUAUGCCUUGGGAUAGAAGGCAUUGCUAUUUGCAAAUGAGCCGUUAAGUGGAAAGACGACUCAAUCUGGAAACAACAUUUUGCAGAUCCACUAUGACUACUGUUGGUUCACUGUAGAACACUCAAAACAUUUAAUUGAAAAACACCAUUGUGUUAUAAAAUAUUGCAGAAAAAUCAGUACAAUAUUCAUUUACUUACAUUUAAAUACGGCAAAUAUAUGCAUUGUAGUGAAUACAUGGAAGACAUAAACAAUGCAGUAAUUGAACUGCAAUAACUAGUCAAUUUCAUUCUCUACGUGCAUUUCAUAUGUUCAUGAAAAUAUUUUACCGAUCAUUUCCAUUUCUGUCUCAUUUGAUUC
This 367-nucleotide long non-coding RNA is filed under the name Mytilus galloprovincialis (Mediterranean mussel). The record is from RNAcentral. Lineage: Eukaryota; Metazoa; Mollusca; Bivalvia; Mytilida; Mytilidae.